Molecule: long non-coding RNA, 1271 nt
Filed under: Homo sapiens (human)
Lineage: Eukaryota; Metazoa; Chordata; Mammalia; Primates; Hominidae
Description: HSALNT0276449
Source: RNAcentral
AUUGCCCAUCUGUUCAAAUGGGUGGGCUGGGUAGACUCAGAGCCAAUGGUUCUCUGAGAUGAAGCCUUAUGUGCUGUCUGCUGGUCUUUCCUGAGUCUCAUGGGGCAGAAGGGUUUUGAGAGCAUUCAUCAGUUAAUGCAUCACUUGUUCAUUAAAGAUUCUUUCUAGACAUUCCACUUUUCCAGGCAUUCAACCCCCAUUCCCAACCGUGCCGACAAAUUGCUGCUUGAAGUUCCUGGUCCCAGAGGCCUUCUUAAAAUGUUCAGGAAUGCAGGCAUGGAAGGUAAGGAGGGGAGUGUGGGGGCGUGCUGGCUGGAGGCCAGCAGCCACAGCCGCGGGAGGAAGGGACAGAAGGGUGGGGUGCAGGCACCCCGAGAUUGCUCAGACAGCAAGGCGGUCAGUGGCAUCCUGACUUUGAAAGCAAUCCAAAACAAGGCCUGCGUCUUAGUCUCCAGUGAUGUCACAGCUAAUCAUUAGCCUGGUAAUUACAUUGAAAGCCUUCUGCGAUCUUAUCCUCAGCAGGGUCAUUAAUGCAAGGCAACCACACCAGUAAAUGUCUCAUUAGUCUUAUUUGAGACUUAUGUAUUUUUCAGGACUACAGAAUUUUAAUAGUCUGCUUUCCUCUCAGCUCCCCCUCCUGCGACAUUAAUAUCUAUUCCUCAUGCCAGACUCUUCCAACACAGCCCCCUCCCUGUUUUCCCUGCCUAAAUCCCCCAAGAGGAAGGCCCAGCAUGGAAGGGAGGCUGGAGUGGGGGUUGGUAGGGGAGAGUCUUUGGCUUCCUCGCUAGCCCCAGCUCUGUUUCUGGCCCCAGUCUUUUUCCUGUAAUGACAGCCUUGUCCUGUGUAUUCUAUGUCUUCCUCAGGAAGCCUCACUCUUUAUUUUAACCCUCUUUAAACCGUUUUUUUCCCUUAUUAUUAAAGAAAUGUAUGCUCAUUACAAAGACAGGAAGAAAAAAUUACUGUUAAUCUCAGACUUCAGGAAGAAUGAUUCCCCGACCGUCUCUUGCUCCCCACUCCAGCUGUGCUGGCUUUUCUUCUGUCCCUGGAGUGGGCUGGUCCUCUCCCCUCUCAGAGCCUUUGAACAUUGCUGUGCCUUCUGCCCAGAGCACUUUCCUUUCUACUCUGCCCCUAGCUGACUCCUGCUCAUUCUUCAGGUUGCAACUCAAACAUCACUUCCUCCUAGGAGCCCUUCCUGCCUGCCGUUCUCAUUCAAGUUUAGAAUUGUGCCUCUGUCAUUUGAUGCCAUAGUCUCUGCCACACAUCCCACAGGU